GACGAACGCUGGCGGCGUGCUUAACACAUGCAAGUCGAACGGUGAAGCGCCUUCCUUUUAGGUGGGUGUGGAUGAGUGGCGAACGGGUGAGUAACACGUGAGUAACCUGCCCCAUUCUUCUGGAUAACCGCAUGAAAGUGUGGCUAAUACGGGAUAUUCUGGGUCUGUCGCAUGAUGGGUCUGGGACAGAUAUUGUUUCGGUGGGGGAUGGUCUCGCGGCCUAUCAGCUUGUUGGUGGGGUGAGGGACUACCAAGGCGGUGACGGGUAGCCGGCCUGUGAGGACGGAGCGUCUCACUGUGCCCCAGCCUCCGCCCAGACGUGUACAGGCGGCAUCCGUGGCGAUGAUCGCUCGAUCUGCGUGAGCCCGUGGCAGUGCCGCCGCGUGAGCGAUGGAGUCGGUCGGGGUGUGAACCUCUGUCGCCAGUGAGGUAGGCCUGCCUCGUGUGUGGAGGGGUUCACGGUACCUGGAUAAGAAGCCCCCUCUAACUACGUG
This 494-nucleotide ribosomal RNA is filed under the name uncultured bacterium. RNAcentral describes it as "partial 16S ribosomal RNA". It matches the Rfam family "Bacterial small subunit ribosomal RNA", at positions 28 to 507 of the family's 1533-position model. The record is from RNAcentral.